This 77-nucleotide transfer RNA is filed under the name Helicobacteraceae bacterium. Its description in RNAcentral is "tRNA-Arg". It matches the Rfam family "tRNA". Rfam says of the family: Transfer RNA (tRNA) molecules are approximately 80 nucleotides in length. Their secondary structure includes four short double-helical elements and three loops (D, anti-codon, and T loops). Lineage: Bacteria; Pseudomonadati; Campylobacterota; Epsilonproteobacteria; Campylobacterales; Helicobacteraceae. The record is from RNAcentral.
GCGUCCGUAGUUUAGAUGGAUAGAGCGACGGAUUCCGGUUCCGUAGGUCGCAGGUUCGAGUCCUGCCGGGCGCGCCA